UGGGGUAUAUUGCACAAUGGAGGGAACUCUGAUGCAGCGACGCCGCGUGAACGAAGAAGGCUUUCGUGUCGUAAAGUUCUUUUAUAUGGGAAGAUAAUGACGGUACCAUAAGAAAAAGCCCCGGCUAACUACGUGCCAGCAGCCGCGGUAAUACGUAGGGGGCUAGCGUUGUCCGGAAUCACUGGGCGUAAAGGGUUCGCAGGCGGAAAUGCAAGUCAGGUGUAAAAGGCAGUAGCUUAACUACUGUAAGCAUUUGAAACUGCAUAUCUUGAGAAGAGUAGAGGUAAGUGGAAUUUUUAGUGUAGCGGUGAAAUGCGUAGAUAUUAAAAGGAAUACCGGUGGCGAAGGCGGCUUACUGGGCUCAUUCUGACGCUGAGGAACGAAAGCGUGGGUAGCAAACAGG
RNAcentral lists this ribosomal RNA (403 nucleotides) under bacterium. RNAcentral describes it as "partial 16S ribosomal RNA". It matches the Rfam family "Bacterial small subunit ribosomal RNA", at positions 355 to 776 of the family's 1533-position model. The record is from RNAcentral.